AAAGGUGCAUGAGUGGUAUUUGGCUUGUUACGGGUGGUUGGCUCCUUGCUUGCGCAACCAACUUCCACCUGGCAUGCCUCUUCAGUUGUGUGUUAGUGCUUGUAUUGCACGGAACGCAUCGAGGGUUUCCUGUGUUGCAUUCCUAAACGAUGGUAACGCGCGAUGAAUUGACGUAUAUUUUCGUCUUGUGUUGCACAUGCGAUGCGAGAUGAAACUAAAGGCAGCCUUUUGUGAUCCACUCCUUCGAUGCGCGCGCAUUGUUUUUGUGGCUCAUUGAGCGCUGCUUGGUCUCAUUGAUAUAGAACCUUACGUGGGCAUGAGAUCUUUAAAAGCUCCUUGUUUGCCCUGAUGAUGCUUUUCGAAUACGAUUUCCUACCAUGUCUUGAUGGGGUAGGUUAUAUCGAAUAUGAAUGCUACCUGGGUGAUCCUGCCAGUAGUCAUAU
Molecule: unclassified non-coding RNA, 443 nt
Filed under: Hyalosperma cotula
Lineage: Eukaryota; Viridiplantae; Streptophyta; Magnoliopsida; Asterales; Asteraceae
Description: partial contains external transcribed spacer and 18S ribosomal RNA
Source: RNAcentral